GCCUGGGUGGCUCAGUCGGUUGAGCGUCCGACUUCGGCUCAGGUCAUGAUUCACGAUCCGUGGGUUCAAGCCCCGCGUCAGGCU
Molecule: transfer RNA, 84 nt
Filed under: Felis catus (domestic cat)
Lineage: Eukaryota; Metazoa; Chordata; Mammalia; Carnivora; Felidae
Rfam family: tRNA
About the family: Transfer RNA (tRNA) molecules are approximately 80 nucleotides in length. Their secondary structure includes four short double-helical elements and three loops (D, anti-codon, and T loops). Further hydrogen bonds mediate the characteristic L-shaped molecular structure. tRNAs have two regions of fundamental functional importance: the anti-codon, which is responsible for specific mRNA codon recognition, and the 3' end, to which the tRNAs corresponding amino acid is attached (by aminoacyl-tRNA synthetases). tRNAs cope with the degeneracy of the genetic code in two manners: having more than one tRNA (with a specific anti-codon) for a particular amino acid; and 'wobble' base-pairing, i.e. permitting non-standard base-pairing at the 3rd anti-codon position.
Source: Rfam by way of RNAcentral